Molecule: small nuclear RNA, 110 nt
Filed under: Physcomitrium patens
Lineage: Eukaryota; Viridiplantae; Streptophyta; Bryopsida; Funariales; Funariaceae
Source: RNAcentral
UUGACUUGUCGGCGACUCUGGACAUAAUUGGAACGACACAAAUAAGAUUAGCAUGGCCUCUGAAAAAGUUGACACGUACAAAUCAAGAGUUGGGUCAAAAGAACUUUUCU